UUUUUUUUUCUAUGGGUAGCCUAAAUUGCAUGCUUUAAUUUUUUUUUUUUUCAUGGUGAUAAAUAUUAAUUUGUGAAUUUCUUUUUUGUGCAUAUGAGCUUGUUGGAACUUGAUCUUGUAAUUAAGCUUCGUGUUUACACAUGGAGUGAAAUCUUUGAUUUUGGGUUCACUCCGUUUUAUCUCUUUGCUUUUGUUUUGGGGUUGUUUGUGUAAACCUAUUAGGCACUUUUCAGUUAGCAAUUUCGUGCUUCUCAUGGUAAAUUUUUCACAUGGGUACUCUUUGACCAAAAAUUAACAAAAAUGCAUUCCACAUGUCUGAACAAAGUAAUUGACUCUUGAAGCAAACAACUUUUGCACUAAAAAUGUUUUUGUUACUCUUUAAGACCCUGACUACUGCUUUGGUGAGCAUUCAGCAAUGUAACUUGGGUGGAUAUGAGUUAUGGUGGUAUAGAGUUGAAAAAUAGAUAUUUUCUAGGUGAUUGAUUGUAGGAACUUACUGGAUGGCAGAGAUGCCUUAUUUGUUCAUUUAAAAACUAGAAUUAAUAGUGAAAGUAUUGGCAAAGCGAUAUGGCUUUGCAAUGUUACUUUCUUUUGCUGUAGUUUUGGUUUUAUAUAUUUAAUGAAAUUUAUGUGCCUUACUGUGAAGGGCGAUGAGGUUUCAUUACAAAAGGCACUGAGUAUGGUUUACAAGAACAGUCACCAAUAUGUAGCUGUGCUCUUCUAUGCAUCAUGGUGCCCGUUCUCUAGGAGUUUUAGACCCAGCUUCUCCCUCCUUUCCUCUUUGUUUCCUUCCAUCCCCCAUUUUGCGAUUGAAGAAUCAUCCAUUAGGCCAAGCAUACUCUCAAAGUACGGAGUCCAUGGAUUUCCAACUCUAUUCCUUUUAAAUUCUACUAUGCAUGAUCGGUACCAUGGCUCCCGGACAUUGGGUUCUCUUGUUGCUUUCUAUACUGAUGUUACAGGCGUCAAGAUUGCAUCGCGGAAUAAAGGAUCCCUAGACAAAAUUGUACGCUCAUCAAACCAUGAAAAUAAUGAUAACAAUGACCAGGAAAGCUGCCCAUUCUCAUGGGCAAAAUCUCCAGAGAAUUUGUUUAGACAGGAAACAUAUUUGGCUCUGGCAACUGCGUUUGUGUUUUUGAGAUUGAUUUACAUAUUUUUCCCUACUCUGCUUGUAUUUGUUCAAUUUGCUUGGAGAGGGCAUAUUCGGAACUUGAGAUUGGGGAGCUUCUUGGAGCAUCCUCGGGCCUAUCUGAAUGGAAUAAUACAAGUAUUCAAUUCUCUGAAGGAGCCUUGCAGGAAAACUAAUUUACAAGAAGGAGCGAUGAAUGCCAGGGCAUGGGCGUCCAAGUCCCUUGUUACGGUGUCAAUAGGGGAUGCAAGCACCAGCAGAGGUCCACCAAUUAGUGAAUGCCGCUGAGUUUUUCUCUGAUUGUGCGAAGGGUAAAAUUUGACAUCCCUGGUUAUAGUUUAAUUUCGGGUCCACUGUUUGUGAUAAUGUGAAAUAUGUUGACAUUGUAGUAUCAAUUUGCAUUCGUCCAUAUGAUUUUGUAUACAAUUUAUUUUGCCAUUUAAGAAGCAAUAUAGAAAUCUACUGUGGAUGUAUGAAUGUUGAUAAGACUAGAUGUGUUCAAGCCAGUGUUAUUAGACCGGGCCUGGGCUCUCGGGUUGAUCCGGUGAUUUAGUUACUAAAUUGGGCAGA
This 1696-nucleotide unclassified non-coding RNA is filed under the name Hevea brasiliensis (rubber tree). Lineage: Eukaryota; Viridiplantae; Streptophyta; Magnoliopsida; Malpighiales; Euphorbiaceae. The record is from RNAcentral.